CUGUAGGGAGAAGGGAGACGAUGGCUAGGGAUGCAGCGAUGACAUUCCGAGAACUCAAAUUCGUCGCAUCAAUGGCGAUGAUUGUCGGAGGGCGUAACCUGACGAACUUCGGAGCAGAGACGUGGGCAGGAGAUGACAGGAACAGAGUCGGUCCACUGCUUUAAGCGGAGAUCAACUGCGUCAAUUACCCGCAAAUGAGAAGGUAGUAGUAAAGCCAGACGUUUCUGUUCUUGACAUGAAUCCAUCCGUUUCUACUGCACAAAGAUUAUAGUGGCAUCAAUUGAUUCAGUGGAGAAGGUGUAGAGGGAGAGGAGGGUCGUGGAUAACACAGGUGGCUGUGGUGGGGAGCAGAGGAGUCGCCGCGAUGGGGAGGAAAGGGAGAGACUGUGAUAGGGAGCAGGGGAGGAGCCGCGAUGGGGAAGAAAG
Molecule: ribosomal RNA, 426 nt
Filed under: Triticum aestivum (bread wheat)
Lineage: Eukaryota; Viridiplantae; Streptophyta; Magnoliopsida; Poales; Poaceae
Description: partial small subunit ribosomal RNA
Source: RNAcentral